GGGCGGGAGGCGUCCGUCCUCCUCGCGCUGCCGCCCGGUCCACGUCCUCCACAGUACACAAUGGCCCCAGAGGAAGGCCCGCUCGCAGCACGUCAGAAAGGAAUUGGACUCGGAGAGAAAUGAGGGGCCUAGACUCGCCCGGGAACGAAAGUGGAAACGGGAAAGGAAAUGGACGAAGGGAUGCAAGGCACGAAGGAGCUAACCAAUGAGGGGUGGCAGUUUUAGACGGAUUGCAGACCAAACAUCAGGCUGAUGAAAAAAGCAAAUAGUUGACAACGCUGGCCAGUCUCUGCUAAUCAUGCCAGAGCAAUAAAAGUACCAGAUAAUUGGAAUUGCUGAUAAAUACCUUGCACCUUUUUACUUAGUGCAAGUUUCUGCCUAAAUGACUGAGGAGGAGACGGCUAUUGUGUUUUGUCGGAGUCACCUUUACACAGAUUUCUAUCCAUUUAAAAACAACCUUACUGUCGCUGCCAUUCUCUAUCAGCAUUGUUACCUCUUUCUGGGGCACCAUGCUUUGUGCUCUUAAAAAGGCCGACAUCUGGCUAGUUUUUAAAGGAGAAAGCUACUGUGCUGGGACUUGUCUUUCAGCAAGAUCAUAGGUUAAACAAAUGCCUUCCAUUUAUUUCAGUUUACUUCAAUCCCACCACUCAUGCUACCAACAAUUGCUCUGGACUUCACACUUUGGAACUUUCUUUCCACUACAGUUGAUAGCGUUUGUUACACUUUUCAGCUUGGACAUCUCAGAUGUUCUGAUAUUUUACACUGGAUUUUUUGUUUUUGAUUUUGUUUUUUCAAAUCUUUCUCUAACCACGUAACCUGAUAAAAUGUUUCUCAAUGGUUCUAAUCACUUUCUAGCAAAUAAGAAUUUUAAUGCUGUAAUUAUUACUAUGAAGGAUCCUGAGUUGUCCUUUACAGCCUUGAAUUUACAUGGUUAAGAUUUUAAUUUGACGAAAACAGAAAAAAAUGUGCCUUUGCAACCAGUCAGGUGAUAAAGUGUGAUUCAGGAAGUAA
Molecule: long non-coding RNA, 1011 nt
Organism: Symphalangus syndactylus (siamang)
Lineage: Eukaryota; Metazoa; Chordata; Mammalia; Primates; Hylobatidae
Source: RefSeq, a predicted model, not a curated record